Telopea speciosissima is the source of this 105-nucleotide small nucleolar RNA. The record is from RefSeq and is a predicted model, not a curated record. Lineage: Eukaryota; Viridiplantae; Streptophyta; Magnoliopsida; Proteales; Proteaceae.
ACUUAAGAUGUGUACCUGCUGUAAAUAUGGACAAACAGUAAUCGGUAGGCUUUAGGUGGGCCUGCAUUGAGUAUUGGGAUGCCCAUUAAGGACCUACAUAUAUGA